UCUCCUGGGAAACGGGUGGUAAUGCCGGAUGCUCCGACUCCUCGCAUGGGGUGUCGGGAAAGAUUUCAUCGGUAUGGGAUGGGGUCGCGUCCUAUCAGGUAGUCGGCGGGGUAACGGCCCACCGAGCCUACGACGGGUAGCCGGCCUGAGAGGGCGACCGGCCACAUUGGGACUGAGAUACGGCCCAGACUCCUACGGGAGGCAGCAGUGGGGAAUAUUGCACAAUGGGCGCAAGCCUGAUGCAGCGACGCCGCGUGCGGGAUGACGGCCUUCGGGUUGUAAACCGCUUUUGAUCGGGAGCAAGCCUUCGGGUGAGUGUACCUUUCGAAUAAGCACCGGCUAACUACGUGCCAGCAGCCGCGGUAAUACGUAGGGUGCAAGCGUUAUCCGGAAUUAUUGGGCGUAAAGGGCUCGUAGGCGGUUCGUCGCGUCCGGUGUGAAAGUCCAUCGCUUAACGGUGGAUCUGCGCCGGGUACGGGCGGGCUGGAGUGCGGUAGGGGAGACUGGAAUUCCCGGUGUAACGGUGGAAUGUGUAGAUAUCGGAAAGAACACCA
This 554-nucleotide ribosomal RNA is filed under the name Bifidobacterium pseudocatenulatum. RNAcentral describes it as "bacterial SSU rRNA". It matches the Rfam family "Bacterial small subunit ribosomal RNA", at positions 146 to 711 of the family's 1533-position model. Lineage: Bacteria; Bacillati; Actinomycetota; Actinomycetes; Bifidobacteriales; Bifidobacteriaceae. The record is from RNAcentral.